RNAcentral lists this ribosomal RNA (1330 nucleotides) under uncultured fungus. RNAcentral describes it as "eukaryotic LSU rRNA". The stretch from base 639 to 1330 matches the Rfam family "Eukaryotic large subunit ribosomal RNA", at positions 1 to 634 of the family's 3401-position model. Lineage: Eukaryota; Fungi. The record is from RNAcentral.
GAGUCUAUGAUGUCUCUGAUUUGGGAAUUCACACUUUAUGCCCUGUGGCCUAUCGCCCGGGGUAUAACCCACAUUUUGUGCACUGACAUCUGUCCCUGGCGGGCGGGCAGCGCAAGCUGCUUGUCAACCAUGAUUCUUCAUGGGUGUGGACAACCCGUCAACCACUUCUUUACUUAUGUUUUUCUUACAUUGUCUGACAUUAUUUGUACAAAAACACAAAACAACUUUCGGCAACGGAUCUCUUGGCUCUCGCAACGAUGAAGAACGCAACGAAAUGCGAUAAGUAGUGUGAAUUGCAGAAUUCAGUGAAUCAUCGAAUCUUUGAACGCACAUUGCGCUUCGUGGUAUUCCGCGGAGCAUGCUCGUUUCAUAAUCAUUAAAAGACUCACAGCCUGUGGAAUGUUGUCGGGUUUUUACUCCUUGUGGGUAUAACCUGCGGCAUUACCACCGGCCUGUAGGAUAUGGGCACUUUGGAUAUCAUAACCAAUUGCCUUAAAGUUAGUGAGUGCGUGACUUUUUGUUAAUUUGCCGACCCUCAGUGCAACAGCUUUAGAUUCACUCCUGGGCACAAAUUGGGAGUCACCACCUGUAAAGAACACAGAGCUGUUGAGCAGUAAUGCUCUCCAGCUCUGACAACUUGGUCUGAAAUCGAGCAAGAAAACCCGCUGAACUUAAGCAUAUCAAUAAGCGGAGGAAAAGAAACUAACAAGGAUUCCCCUAGUAACGGCGAGUGAAGCGGGAAUAGCUCAAAUUUGAAAUCUCAUAGUUUUACUGUGCGAAUUGUAGUUUAAAGAAACGUUUUCGGGGGUGGCUUGGGUAUAAGUCCUUUGGAAAGAGGCAUCGUAGAGGGUGAGAAUCCCGUUUAUGACCCAAUGUCUGCUCCUAUGUGAUGCGUUUUCUAAGAGUCAGGUAGUUUGGGAUUGCUGCCUAAAAUGGGUGGUAAAUACCAUCUAAAGCUAAAUAUUGGCGAGAGACCGAUAGCGAACAAGUACCGUGAGGGAAAGAUGAAAAGAACUUUGAAAAGAGAGUUAAACAGUACGUGAAAUUGCCAAAAGGGAAACGCUUGGAACCAGUAUUGUCUCCAGGUAAUCAAGCACACGUUCCGCAAGGGUCACGUGUGGUGCACUUGCCUGUGGACAGGCCAACAUCAGUUUGGUUUGGGGUAAAAAGCCGGAGAAAGGUAGCUUGGACUUGUCUGAGUGUUAUAGUCUCCGGUCAUGCCUUGGACUGGACUGAGGUCUGCAGCGUUAUUUGGAUACCCGAUUGCCUCUUGAACCAUCUUCUUUAGACAGCAUGCUGACUUUAGGAAUGUCUAGGGAGCCCAGUCGGU